CUACGGGCGGCUCCAGUGGGGAAUAUUGCACAAUGGAGGAAACUCUGACGCAGCAACGCCGCGUGGAGGAUGACACUUUUCGGAGCGUAAACUCCUUUUAUAUAGGAAGAAGAUGACGGUACUAUAUGAAUAAGCGCCGGCUAACUCCGUGCCAGCAGCCGCGGUAAUACGGAGGGCGCAAGCGUUACUCGGAAUCACUGGGCGUAAAGAGCGUGUAGGCGGAUUAAAAAGUCAGAAGUGAAAUCCUAUAGCUUAACUAUAGAACUGCUUCUGAAACUCUUAAUCUAGAAUAUGGGAGAGGUAGAUGGAAUUUCUGGUGUAGGGGUAAAAUCCGUAGAGAUCAGAAGGAAUACCGAUUGCGAAGGCGAUCUACUAGAACAUUAUUGACGCUGAGACGCGAAAGCGUGGGGAGCAAACAGGAUUAGAUACCCCGGUAGUC
This 439-nucleotide ribosomal RNA is filed under the name uncultured bacterium. RNAcentral's name for it is "partial 16S ribosomal RNA". It matches the Rfam family "Bacterial small subunit ribosomal RNA", at positions 339 to 795 of the family's 1533-position model. The record is from RNAcentral.